CGGAGUUGCAGUUUGUCCGCAGUGCGGAGGCUCCUUUAAUCCCGCCGGCUCCGAGGCUGCCGGGGGUCACGGCCCAGCUGCUCGGCAGGAAGGACAAAGGGCAAGCAAGCAGGAAGACAGAGCCUGCGCAGCGAGAGCAGGACUGCACGUUUCCUCUCCCAUGAGGCCUUGGGUGAUGUGGAGUUCUGAGAGAGCCCCGGUUCCUGCUCUGUAAAUUCAGAGAUCCUGCCUGCCCAGCAGGAGAGGGGAUGGAAUGAAGCGGCACUGUGGAUGGCUGGCAGUGGGGGGAGACACCCGGUGGCUGUCCUCCCUUCCUUUAUGCUUGUUCAAAUCACCCUUUUCCCAGAAAACAGGAACAGUACUUCCAUCACAUUUUUGUAGUAAUUCCUCUGUGUAAGUGUGAACAAAUGUUUAUAGAAUGAUCAUAUAUUUUACACCAUUAAUAAGUACUUGUAACUACUCCAUAACAUUUUGGAAAACAGAACCAGAAAAAAAAUCAUUCACCCACAAUCUAAAUAAAAACACAUAAACCACUUGA
Molecule: long non-coding RNA, 538 nt
Organism: Bubalus bubalis (water buffalo)
Lineage: Eukaryota; Metazoa; Chordata; Mammalia; Artiodactyla; Bovidae
Exons: 2
Source: RefSeq, a predicted model, not a curated record